GACGAACGCUGGCGGCGUGCUUAACACAUGCAAGUCGAACGGAAAGGCCCUGCUUUUGUGGGGUUCUCGAGUGGCGAACGGGUGAGUAACACGUGAGUAACCUGCCCUUGACUUUGGGAUAACUUCAGGAAACUGGGGCUAAUACCGGAUAGGAGCUCCUGCUGCAUGGUGGGGGUUGGAAAGUUUCGGCGGUUGGGGAUGGACUCGCGGCUUAUCAGCUUGUUGGUGGGGUAGUGGCUUACCAAGCCUUUGACGGGUAGCCGGCCUGAGUGGGUGACCGGCCACAUUGGGACUGAGAGACGGACCAGACUCCUACGGGAGGCAGCAGUGGGGAAUAUUGCACAAUGGGCGGAAGCCUGAUGCAGCAACGCCGCGUGCGGGAUGACGGCCUUCGGGUUGUAAACAGCUUUCGCCGGUGACGAAGCGUGAGUGACGGUAAUGGGUAAAGAAGCACCGGCUAACUACGUG
Molecule: ribosomal RNA, 468 nt
Filed under: uncultured bacterium
Lineage: Bacteria
Description: partial 16S ribosomal RNA
Rfam family: Bacterial small subunit ribosomal RNA
Source: RNAcentral